Molecule: ribosomal RNA, 252 nt
Filed under: uncultured bacterium
Lineage: Bacteria
Description: partial 16S ribosomal RNA
Rfam family: Bacterial small subunit ribosomal RNA
Source: RNAcentral
UACGUAGGGGGCAAGCGUUGUCUGGAAUUAUUGGGCGUAAAGCGCGCGCAGGCGGUUAAUUAAGUUGGGUGUUUAAGCCCGGGGCUCAACCCCGGUUCGCAUCCAAAACUGGUUGACUUGAGUGUAGGAGAGGAAAGUGGAAUUCCACGUGUAGCGGUGAAAUGCGUAGAGAUGUGGAGGAACACCAGUGGCGAAGGCGACUUUCUGGCCUAUAACUGACGCUGAGGCGCGAAAGCGUGGGGAGCAAACAGG